Molecule: long non-coding RNA, 40702 nt
Filed under: Medicago truncatula (barrel medic)
Lineage: Eukaryota; Viridiplantae; Streptophyta; Magnoliopsida; Fabales; Fabaceae
Description: long non-coding RNA (MTRU_LNC000240)
Source: RNAcentral
UUUAAUCGAAGCUUAAAAUACUUUUCAUAAUUAAAAUUUACUUAUUUUGAUUUAUAAUUUAAGAUCGAAUGCAAUAAGGUGGGUAAGCCACAUGAAAUUUUGGAGAAUGGGGAUGGCGACAACAUGUACCAAAGAGAGUGUAAAAACUAAUUGUAAUGAUUUGGAAUUUUGGAGAGAGCCAAUAAACUGAGUGUUAAUAUUUUAGGGUGAGUAUAGUGCCACAGGAGAUUUAAAGCAAAUAAUUAUAUUAAACUAUGUAGAAGAUGAACAAAAUAAAGCGUAAAAUCUAAUCUGGGAAUUUUUUGAAGAAGAUAAAGUGAGUGCUACUUAUGGGGAAAUUCUGCCUAAAUUGUAGCUCAAUUUAUUAACCUCUGAUUUUGUAUAUCAAUUACACGGAAGGUUUUAAGAAAAUAAUUAAAUCUUACUCGUUAAUUAAAUCUGAUGGUUGAUAUAGAAAGUUCUCGUUUCUCAUAUAAGAUAUUGGUUCUCACCGGAUAUGCUCCAUAUAUAUAUAUUGAAAUUCCCCUAUCAUUAGAAACAAGGUUUUCUGACAAAAUAAUAAAAUCUGGGUUCUAAGAUGAAGAUAUGAGUUUUGUUGAAUGUGAAGAUGAAUAGUUUGAAUUUCUGGAAUUUUGGGAAUUUUUAUGUAAAAAAGGUUAAUAAUGUUAACAUUUUAGAACAUAAAGGAUUAAAAUUGAAAAAUAAAAAGAUAAAGGACCGAAUUGUUACCUAAAAUUUAGUUAGAGAACUAAUUAUGUAAUUUUGCCUAAACCUGCCCACCUAACUAUCUGUUUUAACUAUUGUGUUUUGUUCUUUUAAAAAAAAAAAACUAUUGUGUUUUGUUGUAUUUAUAUUUUUUAUAUAUUUUAUCAUAGUUUUAAAAACCGGAUCGAUCGUCAACUCGGUAAGAUCACUGGGUCACCGAGUCAAUGGUUCAACCACUGGAUCAUUGGUUGAACCACAUGACAGAACCGAAUUAAAUCGGAUAGCUCGGAUUUAUAACUCGAUCUUUAUAAAAAAUGUGUACUUGUAUUAAACUGAGUUGAAUUAUAUUAAUCAGGAUCACUCAAUCACAAAAAAUAAAAAUAAAAAACUAAUAAAAUCUACCAAUUGUCAAAACUCAUUAAAAGUAACCAUUAUAUAUUUAUAUGUGCAUUUCAUACGUACACAAAUUCAUACUAUAUUUAAAUAAAUAUCUCAAAUUUAUUCUAAUUUUAAUAAAUAUAUUUAUAGAGAAACAACAAUAUUAAAAAAAAUUGUAUUUAAAUUAUAAAUAUAAUUAACAUGUUAUAAUUUAAAAUAAGAGUUGACAAAAAAAAAGAGUUAAAUUAACUAUAUAAGAUGAAAACACAACCGCUAACAGUUAAAUAUAAUUAAAAAGAAGCAAACUUCAACGAAAACAACAAGUGGUGUGUUGGUUAAAGGAUUUAAAGGCUUUGUUGCCGGUCUCCUGUUCAACUUUCAGCUAUGUCGAUUUUUGGAUUUUUUUUGAAAAAAACUUAGAAACGUGGUCAAAGGUGCGCAUUGACCUGGCCGGUUCACCAGUUUGGCCGGUUCACACUGGUUUGACUGCAUAACCGAUCUAAUAUACAACUCGAAUCAGUUACCCCACUGGUUCCAGGUCGAACCGGUCCGGUUUUUAAAACUAUGCAUUUUAUGAUAUACCAUUUAUUUCUGUCAAAAAAUAAAAGGAUAUACCAUUUAUUUCGGUUUCAUUCAUCAAUUUUUUUUUUUUUUUUUUUUGAGUUUGUUGUUUCAAUUUAAUUAAAUCUAACUUAUCUUAACUUAUUAAAAUUUCAAUCCAGCUACUUAGUUUUGAAGUUCUCUAAUUAUGACUUAAAUAGUGGUGAGAAUAGGAUGGACCGAACUAGUCUUUGCAAAGACUAAAACUGUUCUAUCCAAAAUUUUAUGGCAUGUGGCCUAUGAUAGAAUUAUUUUUUGGGAUUAUGUAUAACCUUUUGAAAAUUUGAUAUAGUUUGUUAGUCUGUCUAUAAUUGACUUUCAUAUUUCUACUAAUAUUUUACAAUUUGAUAUAGUUUGUUAAAUGUAUAUUAUUAAGAUUAAGACUGAGAUAGCUAAAUAUAAAAUAUACAAACUUAUAUUAAAACAAACAUGGAAAAUGUUUCUCCCCUAUUUGUAAACGACAGAAUUUAAAUUUCGUAUCAAACUGUUGUAAAAUUGUAUUAGCUAGUAGCAUUGUAUGAGAGUGGUUCUUGCGUGGGGAUGUAACAAGAUUACAACAGAGAAAUCAAAACAAGAGAAAUUCAUAUUUUAUUAUGCACACAUAUGUAUAUGUAUAUAUAUGAAUAUCAAAACAAGAUUACUUUUUAAAAUCAAUAUAUUAGAUUAACCUAUAAGCAAAAUAAUUCACAAUAAAAUGACUUAUGUAAAUGCAAAUUAAAACAACACCAAAAUAACUAUUUAAAAAAGUUGAGUCAGAUGAUUCUUCAAAGAGGCAAAUUUAUCUAUAAAAAUUAGAUGAAAUAAAUUUAUCAAUCGUGCGAUCAUCUUUUGACUUUCAUAUUUCUACUAAUUUUAUUUGAAGUAGCUAAAUAUAAAUAAUGUAUACUUAUUGUAGCAAAAUUUAAUUUUUUUUUUGACCCCAUUGGAAACCAACGAAACUUAUAUUUCAUUUGAAACAAUUUUUUUUUUUUUUGAGGGAUUUCAUUUGAAACAAUUGUAAAAUUGGUAAUCAGCUAUUGUCACGAAUAAUAAUAGUAAAUCAUUCCAUAAAAAAAAAUAAUAAUAGUAAAUCAUUUUUGCUUCCUCAGUUUUUUUUUUUUUUUAAAUAAAAAAAAACACCCACUAAUUUUAUUUUAUUUUUUGACAUAAAAAACCACUCAUUGUUAAGUUCUUCAUAAUAAGAACCAUUGUAUCAUGUACGAGAGUGGUUCUUGCGUGGGAAUGUAACGAGAGAAAUCAAAACGAAAGAUAUUCAUAUAUUGUUGUUAUCAUUAUUAUUAUUUUUAUGUGUAAAGAUAAUUCUUGUUUCAUUUAAUUUUAAUUGACAGAAAUAAUACAUUUUCAUCUUGCAGAGAGUUUUAAGACUCAAUAUUAUAUCAUGGCAGAGUUGGUAGCUGGGGCAUUUCUUCAGUCUUCUUUUCAAGUGAUUUUUGAGAAGUUGGCUUCGGUUGAUAUUAGAGACUACUUCAGUAGUAAAAAUGUUGAUGACCUUGUGAAAGAACUUAAUAUUGCACUCAAUUCUAUCAACCAUGUGCUGGAAGAAGCAGAGAUAAAGCAGUACCAAAUCAUAUAUGUGAAGAAGUGGCUUGAUAAACUUAAACAUGUUGUUUAUGAAGCAGACCAACUAUUAGAUGAGAUAUCUACUGAUGCAAUGCUAAAUAAGCUGAAAGCUGAAUCUGAACCACUUACCACCAAUUUAUUGGGCGUGGUUUCAGCUUUAACUACAAAUCCAUUUGAAUCUAGGCUCAAUGAACAACUGGAUAAACUAGAAUUUCUUGCAAUGCAAAAGUAGGUGUUGGGAUUGGCAGAAGGUCCCAGUGCUAGUAAUGAAGGCUUAGUCAGUUGGAAACCUUCAAAAAGAUUGUCAUCUACGGCUCUCGUGGAUGAGUCCAGCAUAUAUGGCAGAGAUGUUGACAAGGAAGAACUUAUCAAAUUUUUACUUGCAGGCAAUGACAGUGGAACCCAGGUUCCGAUAAUCAGCAUAGUUGGUUUAGGAGGGAUGGGGAAAACCACCCUUGCUAAGCUUGUGUACAACAACAACAAGAUAGAGGAACAUUUUGAACUUAAAGCAUGGGUCUAUGUUUCAGAAUCUUAUGAUGUUGUUGGACUCACCAAAGCAAUUCUCAAGUCAUUUAAUCCUUCAGCAGAUGGUGAAUACUUGGAUCAACUCCAACAUCAACUCCAACACAUGUUAAUGGGAAAGAAAUACUUGCUUGUUUUAGAUGAUAUCUGGAAUGGGAAUGUAGAGUAUUGGGAGCAGUUACUACUUCCAUUUAACCAUGGAUCUUUUGGAAGUAAGAUUAUCGUGACAACACGUGAAAAGGAGGUGGCAUAUCAUGUCGUGAAAUCCACCAUGUUAUGUGAUCUACGUCAAUUGGUCAAAAGUGAUUGUUGGAGAUUAUUUGUGACUCAUGCUUUUCAAGGCAAGAGUGUGUGUGACUAUCCAAAACUUGAAUCAAUUGGCAGGAAAAUAAUGGACAAGUGUGAAGGGUUGCCUUUAGCUAUAAUAUCAUUGGGCCAACUUUUGCGGAAAAAGUUUUCUCAAGAUGAAUGGAUGAAGAUAUUGGAGACUGAUAUGUGGCGUUUAUCAGACGUGGACAACAAAAUUAAUCCAGUGCUGAGAUUGAGUUACCACAAUCUCCCUUCCGAUCAAAAGCGUUGCUUUGCCUUCUGUUCCAUUUUCCCCAAGGGUUAUACAUUUGAAAAAGAUGAAUUGAUCAAGCUUUGGAUGGCAGAAGGUUUGUUGAAGUGUUGCGGAUCAUACAAAAGUGAAGAAGAGUUUGGUAAUGAAAUUUUCGGUGAUCUUGAGUCAAUUUCAUUUUUCCAACAAUCAUUUGAUAAAACAUAUGGUACAUAUGAGCACUAUGUCAUGUAUAAUCUUGUCAAUGAUUUAGCAAAAUCAGUGUCAGGAGAAUUUUGUAUGCAAAUAGAGGGUGCUAGGGUGGAAGGUAGCCUUGAAAGGACACGUCAUAUUCGGUUCUCUCUUCGAUCAAAUUGUCUUAAUAAAUUACUAGAGACAACUUGUGAGCUUAAGGGACUAAGGAGUCUGAUAUUAGAUGUCCAUAGAGGAACGUUGAUAAGCAACAAUGUGCAGCUUGAUUUGUUUUCAAGACUAAAUUUUUUGAGGACGUUAUCAUUUAGAUGGUGUGGUCUCUCUGAGCUAGUUGAUGAGAUAAGCAAUAUAAAACUUUUGCGCUAUCUUGACCUUUCUUUCACUGAGAUUACAAGCUUACCUGAUAGCAUUUGUAUGUUGUAUAAUUUGCAAACAAUCUUGUUGCAAGGGUGUGAAUUGACUGAGCUCCCUUCAAAUUUUUCCAAACUCAUCAAUUUACGUCAUCUUGAACUCCCUUAUUUAAAGAAGAUGCCAAAGCAUAUAGGAAAGCUAAACAGUCUUCAAACACUGCCUUAUUUUGUUGUGGAAGAGAAAAAUGGAUCUGAUCUCAAAGAGUUGGAAAAACUAAACCAUCUUCAUGGAAAAAUUUGUAUAGAUGGGUUGGGUUAUGUAUUUGAUCCUGAAGAUGCUGUGACAGCCAAUUUGAAAGAUAAGAAGUAUUUAGAGGAAUUAUAUAUGAUUUUCUAUGACAGAAAAAAAGAAGUGGAUGACUCAAUAGUUGAAAGCAAUGUGUCUGUCUUGGAGGCUCUUCAACCAAAUAGAAGCUUAAAGAGGCUUAGCAUCUCACAAUAUAGAGGUAAUAGAUUUCCAAAUUGGAUAAGGGGUUGUCAUUUACCCAACUUAGUAUCUCUUCAAAUGCGUCACUGUGGAUUAUGUUCUCAUUUGCCACCACUUGGGCAACUCCCCUCUCUCAGGGAGCUUUCUAUUUCAAACUGUAAAAGAAUAAAGAUCAUCGGUGAAGAGUUAUAUGGAAAUAAUUCAAAAAUUGAUGCAUUCAGGUCUCUUGAAGUUUUGGAAUUUCAGCGGAUGGAAAAUUUGGAGGAAUGGUUAUGUCAUGAAGGGUUUCUGUCGCUUAAAGAGCUUACUAUAAAAGAUUGUCCCAAAUUGAAAAGGGCCCUUCCUCAACACCUUCCUUCUUUACAGAAAUUGUCGAUUAUUAAUUGCAACAAGUUGGAGGCUUCAAUGCCUGAGGGUGAUAAUAUCUUAGAGUUAUGUCUGAAGGGAUGUGACAGCAUUUUGAUAAAGGAAUUGCCGACCAGCUUGAAAAAGUUAGUCCUUUGUGAAAAUCGGCACACCGAGUUCUUCGUGGAGCAUAUUUUAGGCAACAAUGCCUAUCUUGCAGAGCUGUGCUUGGAUUUGAGUGGCUUUGUUGAGUGUCCCUCUUUGGAUUUGCGUUGUUAUAAUUCUCUUCGUACGCUUUCAAUAAUAGGGUGGCGCUCCUCCUCCUUGUCCUUUUCACUAUACUUGUUCACCAAUCUCCAUUCUCUAUACUUGUACAAUUGUCCGGAGUUGGUUUCAUUUCCAGAGGGUGGUUUGCCUUCCAACUUGAGCUGCUUUUCGAUAUUCGAUUGCCCAAAACUGAUUGCUUCAAGAGAAGAGUGGGGUUUGUUCCAACUCAAUUCUCUGAAAGAGUUUAGAGUUAGUGAUGAGUUUGAAAACGUGGAAUCCUUUCCAGAGGAGAAUCUACUGCCUCCAAAUCUUCGCAUUCUUUUGUUAUAUAAAUGUUCAAAGCUAAGAAUAAUGAACUACAAGGGUUUUCUCCACCUCCUAUCUCUCAGUCAUCUUAAAAUUUACAACUGCCCUAGUCUUGAGCGCUUGCCAGAGAAGGGUCUACCCAAAAGGAGGAACGAGAGCGGUGGCAUACAAUUUGUCAUAUCACAAAUGUGAUAACUGAUCUAGUAAGGUUGUUGUAUUUUUUAUUUCUUUAAUUUAAUCUACUAAUUUAGAAAAAAUGAAAAAUGAGGGGAAGCGAGUAUUUGGGUGAUGUCAAUUUGCAGUUCAUGAAAUUUCGUAUGAAAGACCUCCAUACUAUUUAGUGGCUCUCUUUUUUUAAAGCAAACAGAACACUCUAUGUUUAAUAUGUUUAAAUUUUGAACAAAAAGGUCUUCACAAUAAGAAAGUAUUGCCUAAUUAGAGGUAGUUGGAUAUAAUGACAUAAUUGAUAUGUAAUUUCGUAUGAUCCAUAAAGUUACUUUGGUUCAAUGACUUUGUUCAAUUCCUUUUCAAAAACUGUUGUGUCAUUCAUUUCUUGCAAGCAUCCUUUUUUCAAAGGUCCUCUGAAACUAUUUUACAAAGUUGUCGUCUUCAACAAAUCGUCAUAAAUCAUAUUAAACUUCUAUGUCUCUUAAUAUUUUUAUAGAAGUUUGAUUUCCUUUACGUUUAGUUGUUUAUAAAUCAAUUUUACUUACUAUGUUGUUUUCUGUAAAAUAUAAUUGAGACUAGGAAUGAUGAGUCAGCAGAAUUUGAUGAAAAUGGACAGCUUGAUCAUGGAAUAAAGGAAACUAGGAGUAGCAGGACAAAUUUAACCAACAACAAGUGGAAGAAAUAUGUUAGAUAGAAGUGUGCAUUAAGAAAUAUUAGGAAACAAAGUAUCUUGAUUUCUGUUGUUUAUUAGGAGUUUCCUGUUUCUUUUAUUACCUUCAAGCUAUGAAACACCAAUAAUAUUUGAGAUAAUGGGAAGCAUAGUUUAUAACCACAUGUGAAAGUGUUGGACGCCAACACGCUUUAUACUCUGAAUAUGCUUUCAAUAGAUGCUCUGGUUCAACAACAUUCACAUUAUCAUUGAACUUGCGUCAUAACCAUGGGAUGAUUUGUGGAGGAAUAUGAUUGCAGUAUCUGUCACUGCUAUUCAAGAAAUGAUUAAAUAUGAAAUGCUGUGCAGUUUAACCAUAAUAUGGAAGGCUUUUGAUAAUACGGUAUUUGAGAACAUUUUCUCAUACAGAUUCUAAUUACCUUUUGGUUAAAUGUCCUUUUGACACUAAAAUCUGAAGAUUCAUGAUUCAAGAUUUGUAUGGUACUACUUACUAUACAUUCAUAAACACAAUUUUUACCAUUAUUCUCUCAAGGAGAAGGAACUAUAUAAUGAUGACCAUGAUAUGUGAUUUGUAUCACACACGUUAAUACAAAAUUGAAUCCACUCUGAAUAACUAUAUGUCCAUAAAUAGAUCAUCUACGCUUACAUAAUUGGUAACAGCUUGCUUCCAAAUCGUUAUAGCUUAAACAGAAACUGAAAAAAAGUCCAACACAGUGCACAUUGAGACUUAAGAACAACACCUGUAAAUGAUUAAUUUAAGUCCCAACAAAACUACUUUUACAUAGAUUAAGAAAAGUGGUUACCCUUGUUUAAUUUUCUUGAUGCUAUAAAACAAAAUAAUGAGAAAAUUAAACUGACUUACCCUUGUUUAAUUCAUAAGCUAUCCUAGAGAGCUUAUUAAAAUAAGCUGAAAACAGUUUGUGGCCAUGUCAUAGACGGUUUUCAUUUAUAAGCUCUAAAUAAACAGAUCCUAAGAAGAGAGAUUAUCAAUUUUGGAAAUGUAUUUUCUCUGAAAAAGAAAUGAUAUGCCACUGAUCUUUCAUGAUUCCUUUUGGCUUAAGUUCAUCACAAGAGAUUUCAAAUGUGAUUUAUGAAUAUGAAAAUAGACUCACAAGUGAUUUUAGACAAUAUAUUGUGUUGUAGAAGUGACUCAAAAUUGGAGUUUGGAGUGCAAAAAUGACGUUUGCUGGAAGACCCAAAAUCGGCGCCCGAUUUGUGGAGUUCGGGGCCCGAUUUCUGGCUGCCUGUGGAGCAGUUUGUUUCGACAAAAAUCGGUGCCCGAAUGGAGGAAUUUGGGGCCCGAUUUUGCAUGCAGUAUUUUUCGGAAACAUAUUUUUGGGGCAGAUUUGUUACAUUUUUAUGGGAGUUACUUUUGCUAUAAAUAUAGGCAUUGUAUCAGUGUAAACCUUGAGAUAGAGGGGGCUGAAACAAGGGGUUUGUGUAGAGUUUGUCUCUUCGGCAACAAAUACCGGGGUUUGAGGGUUGAUUCACCUUGGGAAACACUAUUAGGUUUGAGUCUCUUGGUUACGGGAAGAGAUUGGGGUUUUGGGUAGAAUUAGGCGGGAAACUUAUUCUUGUAACCCAUUGAUAUCUUUUUUGUAAAGUUACUCAUCAUAUAGUGAAACGGAGGGCUGCUCUCUCCCCCAGACUAGGUCAAUUUGGACCGAACUGGGUCAACAAAUUCUUUUGUGUUCUCUCUUAUUCUCUCUCGCUGUUUUCUACUUUUGACUUGUGUUUAUAAUUGUUCCAUACACUUUGAUUUUGGUUGCUUAAUUAUUCCUUGCUCCACACAUCAAAUUUGUUAUUAGUGUGAUUUUUUAUUGAAUUCACAACAUAUUGGAAAUUUUAAAUGAUUGUUUCUUCUAGAGAUUUUAAACAAUUUGAAUUAUUUAUCUUAUUCAAAGCAUAACACUAGCAGAUAUCUUAGAGAUCAUCGACUUCUUUUAAUGGUGUCAUAGUGACUCCUUCAAAAUUGGUAAGAUUGUAAAAUAAUAGAGAUUAAAAUAUAUAAAUAAAAAAUUUAUAUGUAUCUAUCGUUUAUAAGCUGAAGUACAGUUGUCUUGUAGAGUUUUUUAACAAUGUAGAAUAUUAUAUCAUGAAAGACUACGUACGAAUAUGUUAUAUUUUACCAAAAUUAUGUGCUACAGUCUUAUUAUACAUGUGAACAGAGUGCAAAUGGUAGAUGAUUAACGAUAAAUAAAUAGAAAAACGUCUAAUGGUAGAUGAUUAACAAUAAACAAAAAAACGUCAUAGAUGGUUAACAAUAAACAAAAAACGUCAUAAUGGUAGAUGGUUAAGAAUAAACAAAUAUAGUAUUUUGUGAACAAAGGACAAGUGGUGGUUGAUGAUUAACAAUAAACAAACAUCAUAAUGGGGGAGAGAGAGAGAGAGAGAGAGAAUAGAAUUUUUGUAGGUAGCAAAGCAUCAACGUUUCUGCUUGUAUUGUCAAAGUGUUGAACAUAUUUUAUGACAAAGCCAUACUUCUUUAACACACAGACAAAUAUUCAACAUGGCUCAACUGUUUUUCAAUCUGUUUAGGUGAUACAAGUUUACUUCAUUAGUACAUUAUAUUUUGUUAUAAAAUUUCAUUAAUAAAAUGUAUGGAUCAAGCAGGAUCACUUUGUUUGUGUUGUUAUGUAGUAAUUCAAAACAUUAUAUUAAAAUGUAAAAGAAAGUAUAUGUGACAAAUUUGAUAGGAUAUAUUCAAGUCAAUUGUAAGCUAUUCACAAGAAUUUGUGACAUAGAUUGUGAAAAAUAUAUUACUCUUCCAAUUCAAACUAUAGAUUGUAACAUGAAUUUGACUUAUAAAAAUUUUAAGUUACGUACGUUCUGCUAUGCUGUAUGUCACUUGCGUUGUAUACUUGCGAUGCAUAUCUCUCAGUGGCAUCAGGAGGGAGCGUGUGGUUUCCUAAUCACAUUGUUAUACUUAUACCAGAUGAUCGAGAUGUGGACUAGAAAACAAGGAGACGGCAUAAAGUUCUCCAAUUCAUAGUCAAUUUAUUUCACUUCAUUCGAGAGGAAUUACAUUGCUAUGUUUAGGCAUAAAUUACUAUUAACCUUUAUGUUUCCUGUUUAUUAGCCUAUACUAGGAUUUCUCGAAGGUGAAUAACAUAUAUCAGUGGGUUGCACAAAUUGAUUUAACCCUGAAGAUGCUGCAUACGUAAGUUUUAAAGAUAAGAAACAUUUAGAAGAGUUACAUAUGAAGUGGAGUUACGAAUUCAAUACCAAUGGAAGAGAAUUGGAUGUCUUGUGAGGCUCUUCAAUCAAAUAGCAACUUGAAGAAGCUCAACAUCAAACGCUACAAAGGUAAUCGUUUUCCAAGUUGGCUAAGUUGGCUAAAGGGUUGUGGAUUAUGUUCUCGUUUGCCACGACUUUGGCAACUGCCCUCUCUCUAGAAACUUCAUGUUUGUGACUCUGAUGAAAUAAAGAUCAUCAGUGAAGAAUUUUACGACAAUAAUUCAACAAUUUUUCCAUUUAGGUCCCUUGAAGUUUUGAUAUUUGACUAGAUGCAUUGUUUGGAGGACUGGUUAUGUCUUGAUGGGUUUCCUUUGCUGAAAGAGCUUUACACAAGAGGAUGGCUCGAAUUGAAAAGGGCUUUGCCUCACGAUACUAACACUGUCACAUAGACACCGAUAAUAACUUACGAAAAUGAAAUUGAUUAAAUGCAACCUCAUGUAUCGUUAUUGGACACCAACAUGUGUCGUACCUCAGAUACGCUUUAAGUCUGAAGUGUUAGUGCUACAAGUCCUGUUCUAGUACUACUGUAACGGCUCAAGUUCAAUAGUAUUCAGAUUGUUACUGAACAUGUCUCAGAAGCAAGUGAUGUUUCAUGGAGGAACAUGAGAGCAUCCUACAGACUAGUACCACUUUAUAGAUUUGGUGUCUUAUUGCAAUAUCACUGCUUCCAAUUUUCUUGCAAUAGCUUGCUGUUCAAGGAAAAGCUAAUUAUAAGCAAAGGAAACCCAUAUUUCUUCUAGAGAUUUGGAGACCCAUCUCUAAGUGAUCUUUAAGAGAUGAGAGAUUAGAGAUUGCAUGCUUGAGGUUCUAUGUUCAAAUCUAAAUUCCUCCAUUGUAAAAAAAUAAAAAUAAAAAAAUCACUAACACUUGACAAUUUUUAAAAUAUAUUUGUCAAUUCAAGUUUAAAGACUAUGUACAUAUUUCUUUAUAAUUAUAAUAAAGGACUAUGUUCAUUUAACGUAUACGUAAAUUUUUUUAUCAAACUUAUGUGACAUAGUCUUGAUUCAUGUGAACAAAGUGCAAGUGGUAUAUUUGAUUAACAACCCAAAUCAUCUUAUAUUUCCACUCCAAAAAAAUUCUUCGUAUAUUUGAUUUUAAGAAUAAAUUCGUCAAUUCAUAUUUAAAGAGUAAAUGCAUUUUUUAUAAUAUAAUAAAUAUUAAAAAUCGUGGUUGGGCCUAAAACAACCCCAUAAAACCGGCUUGUGAGGUGAGGAUUACCUCCACUUAUAAACAAAUUGUCAGGCCAACUCCUAACCGAUGUGGGACUCUUAACAAUAAAGGACUAUUUUGAUUUAACGUGAUACGUAAUUUUUUAUAUCCCUAGUCUUGAUACAUGUGAACAGAGUGCAAGUGUGGUAGAUGGUUAACAAUAAACAAAUAAAUGAUUGUGUGCAUUUAACGUAUAGUACGUAGUUUUUUGUUUUUUUUUGUUUUUUUGUCUUUCUAUCAAACUUAUAUGCCAUAGUCUUGAUACAUAUGAACAAAGUGCAAGUGGUAGAUGAUUAACAAUAAAUAAUUGAAUAAAAAAAAAACAUCAUGGUACGUAGUAGGUGUUGGAUUUUAGUUCCGUUGACGAGAUGAAGUUGUGUUAGAUUUGAUACAAAAAAAGUGCUUCUCUUUUACAGCCCUUUCUUUCUUCAUUCAUUCACUCACUCUUGUUGGUGAUCGAUCUUGAAACAAACUCAGGUAAUUCCCUCUCUAUCUCUAGCUCUAUCUCUAUCUCUCAUGUUAUAUCUUAAAUAAAUAAUAUUACACUAUUUUUAUGUUAUCUAUCAUCGUUAAAAUCUCACCGUUUAUUUCGAUAGAGAAAAUUUUAGAGCUAUGCUAACGUCAUAAUGGUAGAUGGUUAACAAUAAACAAAAAACGUCAUAAUGGUAGAUGGUUAUAAACAAUAAACAAAGGACAAGUGGUGGUUGAUGAUUAACAAUAAACAAACAUCAUAAUAUCCCCAUGAGCUUAGCUCAAUUGGUAGGGAUAUUGCAUAUUAUAUGCAGGGGCUAGGGUUCGAACCCCAGACACUCCACUUCUCCACAAUUUAAUUGUGUGAGCUCUAGCCACUAGGCUACUUGAAAAAAAAAAAAAAAAAAAAAACAUCAUAAUGGUAGUAGGUUAUCAAUUCUUUUCAUUUUUUAAUCCUUGUACUUGUCAGCAAGACCCUUUAAAUUUUAGAGUUAUGCUAACAAGUGCCCUCACUUGUUAAGAAAAUCAAAUUAAUAAGUUUGUAUUAAAUUCAACAAUUUUUUAACUAAAAAAAUCAAAUUAUCACUUUUCACCAUUUCCCAACAUAGUAUUUCAAUGAAUAAUUAUCGCACUAUAGAGCAGCGUUGUAUAUAUUUCUAAAUAACCAAUUCCCUAAAGACAUUCUUUAACAUUUUCCUAAAUUUUAUAUCAGGAAAAAUGUUAACCAGCUAGCAUCACGAAUAAUAAUAACGGGAAUGAUAACAAGUGUCCUUAUACCGCUUGUUAAGAGGACUAAUGAAGAAAUCUCAUCUCGAGAAUUAUGCAUUCAUUACAUUAAAACUUUAAAAAUAUAUUUUUUCUUCAUUAAACUCAUCAAUCAUUUCUUCUUUUAUUUUCUUAACAAGUGUCAUUAGCAUGUGUCCUACGGGCAUUGUUUAAGGAACCUACAAAAAGAGAUUAUAUCUUAAAAAUACAAGUACAACACUUGUUAAAGUCAUAAUAGUACAAUUUUCAAUGCAAAAGUUGCUACUUUUAAAUGCUUAAACAAUGCCCUUAAGGUGGUUUUUUUUUCUACAUUACCCUAUUUUGUUUAGGGGGUAUUUACCCCUUCAAGAUAUCAACCAGUCAAAAUAUAAUAUACAAAUGUAACAUUAAAUGUCAAAUAAAUGAGUCAAUUUUUUCUAUAAAAAAUAAAUAAAUAAAUUAAUCCUAUGGUAACUUUUAAUUUUUAUUUCAUUAUAUUUAGUAUACAAUCUUAAGUAAUUUACAUUGUAGGGCCUGUAAUAAUUAAAAUUUGAGUUUUUUUGAUUACAUCCAAGGUAUUCUUGGUUACACCCCAUGAUGACCAAAAUACCCUUAUUUACUUUCUAAAUUUCCAACCAUUACUUUUAACUUUCUUCCCUUCUUCUUGAGAAUUGCUGUUGACACAUUGCAUAAGGUUGAGGCACACAAGUAAUUUACGUUUUUGCCCCCUCGGCAGUUGCCGAGGAAUUAAGAAACCGGCUGCAGUUAACUGCCGAGGAAAUCCUCGGUAGUUAACUGCCGAGGAAAACAAUUAUGCAGACAGUGGGUUCUGCAUAAUUCUAAAGCAUUUCCAAGCCAUUUUUCGGCCAGUUUUUACCGCUAAUUAAACCAGAGCAUUUCCAAAGGCAAUAUAAAUCAUACAACAUUGAAACUCGGUCAUAAACAAGAAAAAUACAUUAUCUUUUACAAUUGUCCAUAAUUAAAUCAAACCGACAUUUGGUUCAAAUUACACAAACGUUUGAAAUUCAUUGAAACGUUACAAAAGUGUCCAUACUUAAGUGUCCAUAAUUAAACAACUCAUUACACAUCAUUAAAUUAAAUUCCUACUUACAUUCAACACAAUUGCAUAUGGAACGAACAUACAUAUAUAAUAUAUUAUCUUCCACCAUAUUCCGAAAUAUAAAUCCGACGACGCUAUCGUCACGAAUAAGCCAAGGCAUAUAGCUUGCCGUUUUCCAUGCGUAUUCGUCUCUAUCUUCUCCUAGGUCUAUGCAUGGCAUUUGACCAAACAAGUGACGUGUAUAUUGUGUUGGAACAAAAUAUGUUUCACAAUGAACCUUAUUGAGUUUUGAUGAUAACAAGGUAUUAAAAAUUGUCAAUUGGUUAUUACUAAUUAUUGUUCAAGUGUACAGGACCAAAGGCUAGUCAAGUAAUUUCAACAGGUUCUGGAAGAACAAUGAAAAGCAAAAAGAAUUCCAAGCAUCUGAAGAAAACCGCUCCUGAAGUUCAAAGUGCUUCUGAAGUGAUGACGUCAUCAGAAGCAGAAGGUCAUCAGAAGCAAAGUUUUUCAUCAGAAGCUAUAUCAUCACCAGAAGCUACAUUUAAUCCAUAUAUUCAAACUGAAGAUCCAAAGUAGCUGUUUCUCAUUUCAACCUUAUCUAAGAAGAACGAAGAAUUAAAAGGGAGGUAUCAACGGUCAUUUGGAUAGCUCUGAGCAGUUGUCCUUCGUUAACAGAGUUGACAAAGUACAAGUGUACAACCACUACCUCCACUACUCUGUUUUUGUCCACGCUACAAGACAAGACAACAGCUAUGCCUGCAGAAUAUGUGCCUUCAAGAUGGGAAUGAAUUUGAAGCUAAUUCUUCAAAGGACUACACCCAAAUCAGGCAAAGGAUUACUGGUGGAUGAUCAAAGGAUUUCAAACGACUCUUUAGACGUGCUGAUUAUCUCAACGUCUCUUUCACACCUCUAUAUAAAGGAGUGAAGACUUGAAGAUGAUAUAGAGAAAUAUACAAGUUCAAAAGCGCCAAAACUCUGUCAAACUGAUUCUACAAAGCACACUGAAUAUCUGCACUGAUUUGAUACAUCUUAGAAAUUCAAAGUCCAGAGUCUUUAUUGUAUUGUAUUGAGAACACCACUAAUUGUAUAUCAAGUGUUCAAGUCAAACUCAAUUCUCUGUAUUUUUGUUUGAUUAGAAGUCUCUUGCCUGCGUGCUUGAGCAUUAGAAGUCUCUUGCUUAGUGCUUGAGCAUUGGAAGACUCUUGCGUGUGUGCUUGAGCAGUUUUGUGAAGUCUCAUACUUUGAUAGUAUUGAGCAUUUGUAAUCUUUGUGAUUAUAGUGAAAUCUCCUUGGAAGUGCAAGGGGGACUGGACUACUUCCGUGUUGUGGAAGGAACCAGGAUAACUGCUUGUGUUUUUGUUUUUCUUUUCUCUGCUCUGUUCUUUCCGCUGCAUAUCUGAUUCUGAUCAUUUCAUCAGAAGCACUCACAGUUUGCUUCUGAAGGUUUAUCAGAAAAAGAAUUUUUAGAAAAAGAAAACACAAUUCAACCCCCCCUUCUUGUGUUUUUCUCACCUUCAAUUGGUAUCAGAGCUUGCUCUGUUAUCACAGCACUUAACCGUGUUACAGUUCAAGAUCUAUUAGAAAAACAUGUCUGGAGAUGAGGAAUCAGUUACUACAAAAUACACAAGUGUCAAGCAUGACUAUGAUACUGCUGACAAGAAAACAGACUCUGGAAAAGCUCCAAGGUUUAAUGGAGAUCCAGAAGAGUUCUCAUGGUGGAAAACUAAUAUGUACAACUUUAUCAUGGGAUUGGAUGAAGAGUUAUGGGACAUACUGGAAGAUGGAGUUGAUGACCUGGAUUUAGAUGAAGAAGGAGCUGCUAUAGACAGAAAAAUACAUACUCCUGCUCAGAAGAAGCUUUACAAGAAGCAUCACAAAAUCAGAGGGAUUGUUGUGGCUUCUAUACCUCGCACUGAAUACAUGAAGAUGAGUGACAAAUCUACUGCGAAGGCUAUGUUUGCGUCACUAUGUGCCAACUUUGAAGGCAGCAAGAAGGUGAAAGAGGCUAAAGCUUUGAUGCUAGUUCAUCAGUAUGAACUAUUCAGAAUGAAGGAUGAUGAGAGUAUUGAAGAAAUGUACUCAAGAUUUCAAACUUUAGUUUCUGGAUUGCAAAUACUGAAGAAAAGCUAUGUUGCUUCUGAUCAUGUUAGUAAGAUUUUGAGAAGCUUACCUUCAAGAUGGAGACCCAAAGUAACUGCUAUUGAGGAAGCUAAGGAUCUAAACACUUUAAGUGUUGAGGAUCUUGUUAGCUCACUCAAAGUGCAUGAAAUGAGUUUAAAUGAGCAUGAAUCCUCUAAGAAGAGUAAAUCCAUUGCUUUACCAUCUAAAGGAAAGACUUCAAAAUCUUCUAAAGCCUAUAAAGCUAGUGAAUCUGAAGAAGAAUCACCUGAUGGAGAGUCUGACGAAGAUCAGUCUGUGAAGAUGGCUAUGUUGUCCAACAAACUUGAGUAUCUGGCAAGGAAGCAAAAUAAAUUUUUGAGCAAGAGAGGUGGCUACAAGAACUCAAAGAAAGAAGAUCAGAAGGGGUGCUUCAACUGCAAGAAGCCUGGUCAUUUCAUUGUUGAUUGCCCUGAUCUUCAGAAGGAGAAGUCUAAAAGCAAAUCAAAGAAAUCAAGCUUCAGCUCCAGUAAAUUCCGAAAACAAAUCAAAAAGAGCUUGAUGGCAACCUGGGAAGAUUUGGAUAGUGAAUCUGGUUCUGAUAAAAAAGAAGCAGAAGAUGAUACAAAAGCAGCCAUGGGGUUAGUGGCAACAGUAUCAUCAGAAGCAGUAUCAGAAGCUGAAUCAGAUUCAGAAGAUGAAAAUGAGGUAUAUUCCAAAAUUCCUAGACAAGAACUUGUGGAUUCUCUAAAAGAACUUUUAUCACUGUUUGAACACAGAACCAAUGAGUUAACAGAUUUAAAAGAAAAAUAUGUUGAUUUAAUGAAACAACAAAAGUCAACUCUAUUGGAGCUAAAAGCUUCUGAAGAAGAACUAAAAGGGUUUAACCUCAUAUCAACAACAUAUGAAGAUAGACUCAAAAUUAUUUGUCAGAAGCUACAAGAAAAAUGUGAUAAAGGUUCAGGCAAUAAACAUGAGAUUGCCUUGGAUGAUUUUAUUAUGGCUGGAAUAGACAGAAGCAAAGUUGCUUCUAUGAUCUACAGCACAUACAAGAACAAUGGCAAAGGGAUUGGCUAUUCUGAGGAGAAAUCCAAAGAAUACAGUCUCAAGAGCUACUGUGAUUGUAUCAAGGAUGGAUUGAAAUCCACCUUUGUGCCUGAAGGUACAAAUGCUGUAACAGCUGUUCAGUCAGAACCUGAAGCUUCUGGUUCACAGGCUAAGAUCACAUCAAAGCCAGAAAACCUCAAGUCCAAGGUUAUGACAAAAUCUGAUCCUAAGAGUCAAAGGAUUAAAAUUCUGAAAAGAUCAGAACCUGUUCCUCAGAGUCUGAUUAAGCCAGAAUUUAAAAUCCCAAAGCAAAAGGAUCAAAAGAAUAAAGCAGAUACUGCUUCUGAGAAAACAAUACGAAAAGGUGUCAAACCUAAAGUAUUGAAUGAUCAGAAGCCUCUCAGCAUUCACCCUAAGGUACAAGGGAGGAAAAGUAAAGCCUCCAGAACUAACCCAAAAGGACCCAUGAAGAUAUGGGUACCUAAAUCUGAAUUGGCUAAAAAUGCAGGUGUGCCUAAGGGCAAGAGAGAAACAAAGGUCAUGGUACCUAGACAGCGGAUGUUCAAGGCACAUGACUGGAGAGAAAGCUUUGUUCCUUACCCUUACAAUGAAAGAUGGAGGAGAAGUGAAGUUUGGUGGCAACCAAAUUGGAAAGAUCAUUGGUACAGGUACUAUUGGUAAUUCCUCCAUCUCAAUUAAUAAUGUGUGGCUAGUAGAUGGUCUGAAGCAUAACCUAUUGAGCAUUAGUCAAUUUUGUGACAAUGGGUAUGAUGUAAUGUUUAGUAAGACCAACUGCACACUAGUCAACAAGGAUGACAAAUCCAUUACAUUCAAGGGAAAGAGAGUUGAGAAUGUCUAUAAAAUAAAUUUCUCUGAUCUGGCUGAUCAGAAGGUAGUUUGCCUUCUGUCAAUGAAUGAUAAAAAAUGGGUAUGGCAUAAAAGGUUGGGACAUGCUAAUUGGAGAUUAAUUUCUAAAAUUAGCAAGUUACAACUGGUCAAAGGAUUGCCUAACAUUGAUUAUCAUUCAGAUGCACUUUGUGGUGCAUGUCAGAAAGGGAAAAUUGUGAAAAGUUCUUUCAAAUCUAAAGAAUUGUAUCAACCUCCAGACCCUUAGAAUUACUCCAUAUUGAUCUUUUUGGUCCAGUUAACACUGCCUCUUUAUAUGGAAGUAAAUAUGGAUUAGUCAUUGUUGAUGAUUACAGCAGAUGGACUUGGGUAAAAUUCAUUCAAAGUAAAGAUUAUGCUUGUGAAGUGUUUAGCAGCUUCUGCACUCAAAUACAAUCUGAAAAAGAAUUGAAAGUUUUGAAAGUCAGAAGUGAUCAUGGUGGAGAAUUUGAAAAUGAGCCAUUUGAACUUUUUUGUGAAAAACAUGGAAUUCUCCAUGAAUUUUCUUCUCCUAGAACUCCACAACAAAAUGGGUUGUAGAGAGAAAGAACAGAACCUUACAAGAAAAGGCCAGAACCAUGAUCCAUGAAAACAAUCUAGCUAAACAUUUUUGGGCAGAAGCAGUUAAUACUUCAUGUUACAUUCAAAAUAGGAUCUAUAUCAGACCUAUGUUGGAGAAAACUGCAUAUGAACUCUUUAAAGGAAGAAGACCCAAUAUCUCUUACUUUCAUCAAUUUGGAUGUACUUGUUACAUCUUGAACACUAAAGACUAUCUGAAGAAAUUUGAUGCCAAGGCUCAAAGAGAGAUCUUUUUAGGUUACUCUGAAAGGUCAAAGGCAUACAGAGUGUAUAAUUCAGAAACACAUUGUGUUGAAGAAUCUAUGCAUGUAAAAUUUGAUGAUAGAGAGCCUGGAAGUAAAACUCCAGAGCAAAGUGAAAGUAAUGCAGGUACAACUGAUUCUGAAGAUGCACUAGAAUCUGAUCAACCUUCUGAUUCUGAAAAGCAUUCAGAAGUUGAAUCUCGUCCAGAAGCUGAAAUCACUCCAGAAGCUGAGUCUAAUUCAGAAGCAGAAACUAGUCCAGUAGAACAGAAUGAAAAUGCUUCUGGGGAUGUUCAAGAUAACACUCAGCAGGUUAUUCAACCUAAAUUCAAACACAAAUCUUCACAUCCUGAGGAGCUAAUCAUUGGAAGCAAAGAUAGUCCUAGAAGAACAAGAUCACAUUUCAGACAAGAAGAGUCUUUAAUAGGAUUGCUUUCAAUAAUUGAGCCUAAAACUGUCGAAGAAGCUCUCUCAGAUGAUGGUUGAAUAUUAGCUAUGCAAGAAGAGCUAAAUCAGUUUCAAAGGAAUGAUGUGUGGGAUCUGGUACCCAAACCUUGUCAGAAGAACAUUAUUGGAACAAAAUGGGUAUUUAGAAACAAGAUGAAUGAAAAAGGAGAAGUAACCAGAAACAAAGCCAGACUUGUUGCUCAAGGCUACAGUCAACAAGAAGGCAUUGAUUAUACUGAAACAUUUGCUCCAGUGGCAAGAUUGGAAGCAAUCAGGUUACUUCUAUCCUAUGCAAUUAAUCAUGGCAUAAUAUUAUAUCAAAUGGAUGUCAAAAGUGCUUUUCUUAAUGGUGUCAUUGAAGAAGAAGUAUAUGUCAAACAACCUCCUGGGUUUGAGGAUCUUAAGCAUCCUGACCAUGUUUAUAAACUUAAGAAAUCACUAUAUGGCUUGAAACAAGCUCCCAGAGCUUGGUAUGAUAGACUAUGUAAUUUCUUAAUUAAAAAUGAUUUUGAAAGAGGACAAGUUGACACAACACUCUUCAGAAGGACUCUUAAGAAAGACAUUUUGAUUGUGCAAAUAUAUGUUGAUGAUAUAAUAUUUGGUUCUACUAAUGCAUCUCUUUGCAAAGAAUUUUCUAAGUUAAUGCAGGAUGAAUUUGAAAUGAGUAUGAUGGGAGAAUUGAAGUUCUUUCUUGGAAUUCAAAUCAACCAAUAAAGAAGGAGUAUAUGUUCAUCAAACAAAAUAUACAAAGGAGCUUCUGAAGAAGUUCAAGCUAGAAGAUUGUAAAGUGAUGAACACUCCAAUGCAUCCAACCUGCACCUUAAGCAAAGAAGAUACUGGAACAGUAGUAGACCAGAAGCUAUACAGAGGUAUGAUUGGUUCUCUGUUAUACCUUACUGCAUCUAGACCUGAUAUUUUAUUCAGUGUAUGCUUGUGUGCAAGAUUUCAAUCAGAUCCUAGAGAAUCUCAUUUAACUGCAGUUAAGAGAAUCUUCAGGUAUCUGAAAGGAACAACUAAUCUUGGACUCCUGUAUAGGAAAUCUCUAGAUUAUAAGUUGAUUGGAUUCUGUGAUGCUGAUUAUGCUGGUGACAGGAUUGAAAGAAAAUCAACCAGUGGAAAUUGUCAAUUCCUGGGAGAGAAUCUGAUAUCUUGGGCAAGCAAAAGACAAGCAACUAUUGCUAUGUCUACAGCAGAAGCAGAAUACAUUUCAGCUGCAAGUUGUUGCACACAACUACUUUGGAUGAAACAUCAGUUGGAAGACUAUCAGAUUAAUGCUAACAGUAUUCCCAUUUUUUGUGAUAAUACUGCUGCUAUUUGUUUGUCAAAGAAUCCAAUUCUACAUUCAAGAGCCAAGCAUAUUGAAAUCAAACACCAUUUUAUCAAAGACUAUGUUCAAAAAGGGAUUUUAGAUAUACAAUUCAUUGAUACUGAACAUCAAUGGGCUGAUAUAUUUACAAAACCUUUAUCUGUUGAAAGAUUUGAUUUUAUUAAGAAAAAUUUGAACAUGCACUUUGUGUCUGAUUGAAAAAUUGCUGGCCUCUGAAUAAGAAGUUUUUGGUUCUGAAGUUUAUUCAGAAGCAGCUGAUCCAUCAGAAGCUCUUAACUGAGGUUCUGAGGAAAAUUUGCUUCUGAAGAUGACGUCAGCACUAAGACUUCAGAAACGGUUUUAUUUGCUUCUGAAUAGCAAGGUUAGUGGGAACGUUGGCAGUUACUUUUUGUAACAGCUGUCCCAUUACCCAAAGGUUAGUUUUCUGAAAAGUCUCUGACGCGGUCUAUUUGUAUUGGAGUAUAACAAAAAGGGCAAUGAUGUUUUAUCUGCAUUUAAACGUACUAACACGCGCCCCCAAUUUGUCAUUAAUGCUAUGUUUGUUUGUCUCUUUUGAAUUGCAAACGGUUUAAUAAAAACACUAAGUCAAUUCACACACUACUCACUUCACAACAAACACUUUCUAUUUUCUUCUAAACCCUCUGCGAAAGUAAAUGCAUUCUCUCAUCCUCUCAAAAACACCUUAGAACCCUAAAAUCUACUUCAAAUCAAUGGCAUCUUCAAGUUCUGCAUCUGGUUCAUCAUCAAACGAACAACAAGGAGAAGCUCCUGCCUAUGAGAUAAAGGGAAGAACCAUGUCCUUGGAGGAAUGGGAAUUAAACAUUCAAUCAGAAAGUCCGGUGGAUUUUGAUUCUUUGGCCGCUCACGACUGUGACGUUGGCAAGUACUACGAGAAACAAGGUCUGGGAAGGUACUUCAACCUUCUAAAUGGACCAACUUAUCAAACACUGGUUCGACAUUUCUGGGUUAGAGCCAGCAUCUACGACAGGGAAGCCGCCAAGAUUGAAGAAGAUGAAAAAGUUCUUCUCAAUCCUGAACUCAAAGGGAAGUCUAGAGCGGAAAUGGGCUUGGAAACUUUCUCCAAAACCCAGAUAAGAUCAAGCAUCAUGGGAAUCCGUGUCUGGAUCACUGAGGACACUAUUGCCUUUGUCAUCAGAAGACCAGCAGAAGGAGAACAUGAGGCUAGGAUUUCAAAGCCAAAGGACAGCCCCUGGAAUGCUAUUGUUAACAGAACUCUCUACAACAAAGUAAAGGACUUUGCCUAUUCUGACAUGAACACCAUGACAAAGGUUAUGUUGAAGAUUCAGAACGAAAACCUACUACCAAAAGGUGGUGGCAGUGAUCAGCCCUCUCUGGAACAUAAAAUUCUCUUACACUUUGUCAUAAAGGGUGUAGAGGCAAAUAUUCCCAGAUACAUUUUCAGACAUAUGGUUCAUCAACUCAGAGAGAGCCAACAUAAUAACAGGUUCUGGGUACCCUAUGGGAGGCUACUCUCUGAGAUUUUCCAUCAGGGAUGAAUUAUUGAUUUGCUGAAGGAAGCUCAGAUCUUCACAGAUGAACAGUUGGGAACUGUUAGAGGGAAAAUUAUCAAUGGUGAGACUCUAAGGUCUAUGCGUCUGAUUAAAGCAAAAGAUGUGAAGAAGAGACCUACUGACUUGAAACCUUCAGAUGCCAAAUCAGAUCUUAUUCCAAACUUUCCUCCCAUCUGUAAACAAGAUCCCUUGGAUGUUCAAAGGGAAUUCAUCAUGGACUUUUACAAAUCCUACAACAAGAAGAUUGACCUAAAGGAUGUCCCUGACGAAAUGUAUGGUGGUGCUUUGCCAGUGGCCAUAGGCAGAAAAUCCAAGAAUAAGCCAAUCACCAAGGAGGAAUAUCUUGCUGGUGAUGCUUCUGAGAAGGGUGCUCAGAAGCACCAGAAGGCUAAAAAUGUCAAACCUGCAAUGUCCACCAUUCAGGAAGAGGAGGAAGAUUUGGAUGUUGUCUCUCUUAUCAGGAAGAGGACAAGGAGUGCUCAAGAAACAGCAGAACAGCCUGCUUCUGAACAAACUGGUUCUGAACAAGCUGCUUCUGAAAAACCUCCAAGUCCCAAAAAGAAAAGAGAAGCUGCUCUUCAGACCAUCAAAAGGAAGAGGUCUAAAACAACCAGAAAUCUGAAGACAGCUGAGGGACGUAAAGAGCAGAUUCUGGAAGAACUGGUAGAGAACUAGGAUGAGGACAGAAGUCCUAAGAAAGCAAAGAUGACUACCAGUACUGAGCCUGUAGUCAUGCCCAGUUUUGAAGCUUCUGAGGAUCAACUGAAGUAUGCUAGAGAGAAUGCUUCAUCUAAGAUACAGGAGGAGAAAUUGCUGAGGCAGAAGUAUGAACAGCAAAGGGAUGAGCAACUCAAUGCUGCUAGGUAUGAACCUGAACCUGAAGUUUCCACUCUGAUCUCUGAGUUAGAGAAAGAAACUAUUCAGCAUGGAGUAACUCUGUUUUCUCAAGCCUUGAAGAAUAAGCAAGCUUCAGGAGCCACUUCAUCAGAUUCUUCUACAACAGCUCUAGAAGCACCUCAGUCAGAACCUCUUUCUUCAAGUAAUCCAUCUUAUGCUCCAACUAAUACUCAGAUUCCUACCUUUCCUACUCUACCCACUUCACCCUCAUCAGAUUCAUCAACAGAAUCUGAUGAACCAAACCUGAACAAAAACAUAGAUAAACUCCUCAACACCAAACCCACAAAAUUAACAGACUCUGGAACUUUUGAUUUUGAGCAGACCCAAAUUGAACUUUCUAAAAACAGGAUUAAAAUCUGUGAAACAUUCAAUUUGCCUGCUGAUCAUCCAUUUUAUCCAGAAAUACCAGAAGCUGUUAGUAUACUUCACCCUGAAACCAACCCUCAACCUAACCAAGAACCUACCCAAACCAACUCACAAAAUAAUCCAACUCCACAAAAAGCCUCUGAAGCAGUUUCAGAAGCAACUACUUCAGAAACCCCCCAACACCAAGAAUCCUCAACCCUUCACAACUUAGAAAAACAUCUAGGUGGUGAAAUGCAACCAACACCCACAAAGGCCUCUAAGACAAUCCCUAAAAAGACUGUCUUGGAAACCUAAACAGAAACCCAAACCAUCCCUGAGCAAACUGUUCAGGAGCAAACUGCUUCUGAACAAGUUGCUCCUGACCAAACAACUCCUGAACAACAAACAACUUCUGACCAACAUAUAGCCUCUGACCAAACAACAGAACAACAACAACAACCCGCUUCACCCACUUUCAUAGACUUAACCUCUGACCAACCUUCCACAUCAAAUACAACUCAAACUGAACCCUCACCCAUCCCUGACCAUAUCCUAGAGUCUGAGUAUAUAGAGGAACAGCUGAUCAGACUUAGUGAUGAGAUUCAGGCACUGAUUCUUCGCAGAACAGUUCUUGUACCUCCUAUUCACUAUUAUGAUCAGUGGAUGGAUCUACAGAAGAGCUUUGAUGAGCUGCUGGAUCAGCUUAGAACUAAGUGUGUCUCAUCUCACUCUGCCAUGCUGAAGAAGCUGUUGGAUGAAAUGCAUGAAGCAGCUAAGGUGAAAGAGCUGAAUUUUGUGCCUCUGCUGGACAUCACUCCUUUCUAUCAAGAAGAAGAGUACAUCACAAGGGCUGCAAGAAUUCAUGCUGGGCUUAAAAGAAGAAUGAGAGAAAAGGAUGAGCUACUUCAGAAGAAGGAUGAUCAGAUCAAGUAUCUUUUGGAACAGUUGUAUAAGCAAGCCCAACCUUAGUUGCACACCCAACACUUUUAGCUUGUUUUUACUUGUGUUCUAAAUUAUCAGUAGCUUUUCCUUUGUAUCUUAACUUGUCAAUAUAAUAUUAUCAUUGUUUCUGAAAAAUAUGUUCUACAGUUUUAACUCUGAUGAUGUUUAUUGUUUUUAAUGAUGAUUGCUCUGAUACAUUUUUUUAUGUUGUUAAGGUUAUAUGUUUAUAUGCUCUGCAACUCUUUCUUUUGUUCUUAUUCUUUUUGUUGAUGACAAAAGGGGGAGUAAAUGUAUAGUAUUUUUAAGGCACUGAGCCCCACUAUAACCACUUCAAAACCUUUUUAAAUACUUCUGAUGUUAUUUAUUUUUUUUAUGAAUAUUUUAUUGAAAUUUAAUUAAUAAGAAUAGAACUCAGGGGGAGCUUACAAAUCUCACCUUAAAGAUCUAUUAGACUCAGGGGGAGCUUACAAACCUCUAUCCCAGUAGUCAACUUAUUAAUUAGAUCAACAACAAUUGAACAGUUUAAAUACUAGUGUUUGUCAUCAUCAAAAAGGGGGAGAUUGUUGGAACAAAAUAUGUUUCACAAUGAACCUUAUUGAGUUUUGAUGAUAACAAGGUAUUAAAAAUUGUCAAUUGGUUAUUACUAAUUAUUGUUCAAGUGUACAGGACCAAAGGCUAGUCAAGUAAUUUCAACAGGUUCUGGAAGAACAAUGAAAAGCAAAAAGAAUUCCAAGCAUCUGAAGAAAACCGCUCCUGAAGUUCAAAGUGCUUCUGAAGUGAUGACGUCAUCAGAAGCAGAAGGUCAUCAGAAGCAAAGUUUUUCAUCAGAAGCUAUAUCAUCACCAGAAGCUACAUUUAAUCCAUAUUUUCAAACUGAAGAUCCAAAGUAGCUGUUUCUCAUUUCAACCUUAUCUAAGAAGAACGAAGAAUUGAAAGGGAGGUAUCAACGGUCAUUUGGAUAGCUCUGAGCAGUUGUCCUUCGUUAACAGAGUUGACAAAGUACAAGUGUACAACCACUACCUCCACUACUCUGUUUUUGUCCACGCUACAAGACAAGACAACAGCUAUGCCUGCAGAAUAUGUGCCUUCAAGAUGGGAAUGAAUUUGAAGCUAAUUCUUCAAAGGACUACACCCAAAUCAGGCAAAGGAUUACUGGUGGAUGAUCAAAGGAUUUCAAACGACUCUUUAGACGUGCUGAUUAUCUCAACGUCUCUUUCACACCUCUAUAUAAAGGAGUGAAGACUUGAAGAUGAUAUAGAGAAAUAUACAAGUUCAAAAGCGCCAAAACUCUGUCAAACUGAUUCUACAAAGCACACUGAAUAUCUGCACUGAUUUGAUACAUCUUAGAAAUUCAAAGUCUAGAGUCUUUAUUGUAUUGUAUUGAGAACACCACUGAUUGUAUAUCAAGUGUUCAAGUCAAACUCAAUUCUCUGUAUUUUUGUUUGAUUAGAAGUCUCUUGCCUGCGUGCUUGAGCAUUAGAAGUCUCUUGCUUAGUGCUUGAGCAUUGGAAGACUCUUGCGUGUGUGCUUGAGCAGUUUUGUGAAGUCUCAUACUUUGAUAGUAUUGAGCAUUUGUAAUCUUUGUGAUUAUAGUGAAAUCUCCUUGGAAGUGCAAGGGGGACUGGACUACUUCCGUGUUGUGGAAGGAACCAGGAUAACUGCUUGUGUUUUUGUUUUUCUUUUCUCUGCUCUGUUCUUUCCGCUGCAUAUCUGAUUCUGAUCAUUUCAUCAGAAGCACUCACAGUUUGCUUCUGAAGGUUUAUCAGAAGAAGAAUUUUUAGAAAAAGAAAACACAAUUCAACCCCCCCUUCUUGUGUUUUUCUCACCUUCAUAUUGAUUUUCACCAAGAUGCUCAAAAUAAGUGUUAAGUUGUGCCUUCAAAUCAUCAAGAGAGUCUGUCGGCGUUAUCAUAACGUUAACCGUCUUUUUAAACGCGGAGUACCUAACAUGCCCUUCAAUUUGUGCAACCUCAGACAUGUCUCACUUGACAAAAGCUUUAAGAAAAGAAUCAUAUAUUAGAACAAAAUUAAAUGAAAUGUAAUAACGAAUAAAUCAAGUGCGUAAACAUUAAUAACAAAUAAAUAAGUAUUGCACUAGUUUCACCACUUAAAAGUCAUAUUAUCAUAUAUAUCAAUAUAAAUUAUAUAAUGUUAAUUAUAUAUUGGCCACAAAAAAUUGGCGCUAUAAUUUCGACCCCAAAAUAUACGUCGGUGUAAUUUCUACAAAAAAUAAAGGACUAACACCGACAAAAAAAUCACUCAUUAAAGACCAAGUGAUCGGAGAAGAUCAAGUGACAUAGAAUCUUCCUCAUCUUCCGAAAUAACUUCAAAUUGUUGCUUUGGUUUUUUGGGAGUGUCCAACAAAAUAGGCGCCACUUUGUUUGACUCCUUUUGUCGUUUCAGCGGUUUAUUUCCACUUUCAAUAGCCAUGAGCUUUCGGAACAACUCAUGUUGAUCCAAAUACUCAUCUUCCCAAGUCACCGCAUCUUCUUUCUUGUGAUUGUGUCACUCCGUAGAUGAUGGAGGUAGUGACAACCAUUCUUCAAAUAAAUAAACACGAAAUGAUUCGGAAUUGCCCCAAAGCACAGGAUGGAGUUUUUUGAUUACCCGGCGGUGGUGGCCCUCUUUGUGGGAAAAAAGAUUCCGAGUUUCCAACUUUAAGAUUUGUCAACACAACCACACACCUUUUGUAAUAAUUAGCAACAAUGUGUCUCAUGUCCAUAUAAUAUACGUGAAGUCUGAAAAUUGGCCCUGUAAUUAAAUUACAUGUAUUUUGGCCAUGUAAUUCAAAAAAUUUAUUAUUUAUAACCCUGUAAUAUAUGCGAAGUCCAAAAAAGAAUUCGAGAGAUUGAAUUUUUUCAUGAUUUGUUAGAGGCGAGUUAAGAACGUUAAAAUACGGCUUUGCACAAAAAAUUUAUAAAUUUUCGACAAACGACAAAUUAAUUAUGAAUUUUUAAAGUGUCAAAAGCUCAAAAAAACAAAACAAUGGAAAUAUCGACCUAUAAAUCGAAUUUUGAGCUCAUUAUUUGUAGAGACAUCUAUAAAAAUAUAUAAAAAGGAUAUGUAAAGUUUCAUAUCAUUUCGAAGUCGUUUAAAUUUAUUAUGAUUUUUCAACCAAAACGUGCAAAAUUGAAAUUUUGUUCCGCGUAAGCGUAUACUCACAAGUCAAAUUUAGUUCCCUAAUUUUGUAGGCAUGACUAGAGUAUGAUAAGAACCUUCACAGUGAAAUUUCGUAGUCUUUAAACGAGAUACAAAUUAAUUAUAAAUUGUUUAAGAAAUUCAUAAUUAUGAGAGAAUGAAAAUUCAUAAUUAAUUUAUCUCUAGUCGAAGAAAUUUAAUUUUUUAUGUAAAGCUAUAUUUUAACGUGCUAAUCAUGUAUGAUAAAAAUAAUGAAAAAAUUCAACAUGUAGGUCACAUUUUUAGAAUACACGUAUAUUACAGGGUGGUCAAAAAUAUGAAGAAAUUCAAGUUACAAUGCUAGUAUAUAUGUUUUGUAUUUUUAACGGUCAUUUUUCAGACAUAAGGUAUAUUACAUAGUCAAUUUGAACAAUUAACCCGUUAAAAUAAGAGAGAUGAACCCAUCAAUUGUGUGCUAAAUAAAAAUCCGAGACCUAUUUGCCUGUGAGAAUUUUCAGAUUGCUUAAAUUUUUCUUUUUGUAAGUGUGCUAAUUGGCUUUUGGGUUGAGUCUAAUUUGCAAAAAUAAUCGAUCGAGCCCGGGCGACCGCCCGGGGUCGCCGGACGGUGAAACCGCCCAUGCGUAAGAUGUCCUUUGAACACAACCACAAAUGUCAUUGUCCAUGCACAAUGUUUCCCUACAACGUGUCUCUUCCAAAGCAAUGUUGUCCAAAGCAUAUCUAGACACAUGACCACCUAACCCCGAGUACAAAGUGACAUCUUUGAAUCUAUGUUCCAACACGCUAACGCUGUGACCAAUUGAUGUUUGUAUAGAAGUGAACUGAAGCAACAACAUGUCAUGUAUUUUCUCCCAACAAGUACCCAAAUCACCCACUCUAUUGUCCAAAUAUUUCUUCAAUAAAGCAUGAGCCAAUUUGAACCUGUUGUUGGUCCUGCAACCAAGAUGCAACACAUGGUAUGUCUAUGCCCUCACAAUUUUGUCCUUCACUUCAUUCAAGGUGGUCAUGGCAUAAUUUUUUAAAAUUAGGAAAUCACUACAUGAAUCUUGGAACUCCACUAAUGCAUUUGCAUAUAACUGUUGAGUGGGCGAUUCAACCAUAGAUUUCCAUUUCCUCAUUAUCUUCUUGACAACAUCGCGAUUACUCACCUCUUUCCCAUCCUUUUUUCCCAAAGGAUAUUUACAAUCUGAGACACACAUUUGUUUAACAUUUGCUUGCACAUGAAAGUAACAAUUCAUUGCAUAACUUUCGGGGAAACCAUUUGCAACCGCUUUCAUCAAAGACAUAUCCGUGUCGUUAACAAUCACCUUAGGCAUAUUCAUCUUUAACGUAAGAAGUUUACGCAACAUUUUUAAGACCCAAACAAAGUUUUCCUCUUCCUCAUGUGUCACAAAUCCAAACCCAACCGAAUAUGUCAAAUCGGUCGAAGUGACCUCAACUACCUCAAACAUUGGCAUCCUGUACAUGUUGGUUAUGUAGGUGGAGUCCAUAACCAAAACGGUUGGAAAAUUGUUAAAAAACUUAACGGAUGUUGGAUGAGCCCAAAAGAUAUCUUCGAUUGUAGUACUUUCACUUUGUGUUCUUGAGUAAUAAGAAUAGUUGUGCUCCUCCAACUUCGAGGUUAGAUAUUGCAACGGCUUCUUGUCACCUCUAUGUGCCUUCCAUAUUUGUUGACGUUCAUUGUACACUUGCUUCACAUUUGUCAUGCAAUGUGGUCUUUUGUUCUUCAAAUGUAUCAAAAUAUUUCUUGGAAACAUCUUGUUCUUGGUCAAGUCAUGUACAAUCUUCUUUUCGUCCUCCUUUAGUCUACCGGCAAGAAUGUGUCAUUCUAAAGCCGGCUCCAUCGCAUGGUUGUGAACUCCAUUAAGAAUGUUCAAUCCCCAUUCCUUUGUUUGCUUACUUUGAUAUCCACUAAUCAUGAACAAGCACCCACAUUUUCUUGAGCCCGUUCUCGCAUGCUUCGGUUUUUUUUUUUUUGGCACUUUGUGAGCUCCACUCCUUUCACACACUAGGCGGAACAUUGGAUUGAUCAAGCUUGAUCUUUGUGUAACAAUUGUAAAUCCCGCCUUAUUUGCUUGACGACGCGCCCACUCAAGCAAUUCUUCUCUAUCUUUCGACUUAACGUCGUCCGAAAAAAACCUAGUCGUGCCGACCUCGUGGGCUUGAAGUGGGAGGACACCGGAGCCGCCAACAUACUUUGAAGCUUCAACAUGAACGGAAGCUCCAUCAAUGUUUGGUUUCGCUUCAACCUUAGGCGGUUUGACAUCUCCGAAAAUUUCAACAAAAUUUGGUUUUGUCUCUCCCAGAACAUCUUCCGCGUUCUCUACCAUUACUAUAAUUAAACAACAAAUAAAUAUGAAUUAACAACUAACUAAUGCAUAAACAUCAAUGUCAUAAUGAAUUAAAAGAAAAAAAAUAAAAAAACAAAAACAAAAGAAAUGUUUUUUUUUUGAAAAAUGACAGUAGCUGCCAUUUUUUCGUUGUGAAAUUUUUUCACAAGUAUUCCUCGGUACCUUACUACCAAGGUUUUCCUCGGCACUACACUACCAAAGUUUUCCUCGGUAGUUAACUGCCGAGGUUUCCCAUGACAGAGUUCUACGUAACUGACGUAGAUACCCAUAACAAAAUCAAAAAAUGAACGGAUUAAAAUGCUCAAUACCUUUUUUUUUUACGUCAAAUGUGUGUUGAUACCUCCUAUGCUUGACGCUUGAAUGAUUUUGGAUCUAGAUUUGAUGAAAAAAAUAUUGAAUUUGGGGAUUGACUGAAGGUGGUAUUGAAGUUGAUGAUGAAAAUAGUAUGUAGGGGGGAGCAUGUGGCUGUUUCAUCUGAUGAAACAUAUUCCUCGGCAGUUAACUGCAGCCGGUUUCUUAAUUCCUUGGCAGUUAACUUCUGAGGGGACAAAAACGUAAAUUACUCGUGUGCCUCAGCCUUAUACAAUGUGUCAACAGUAAUUCUCCUUCUUCUUCUCCUUGUUCUUUUUCCUUUACAUGACUUUCUCCAUUUCAUUUUCCCCCCUCUUCUUCUUCGUGAAGGUUUCUUAAAAUUAAAAAAUUAUACACCCAUUCUCAUGGUAAUCAUUUUCAAUUCAACCGUGAAUGUCCUCCUUCUCCCUUCCUAAUUAUUCCCUAAUUCAAUUCACCCUUCCUCUUUUUUUUUUUUUUUUUUUUUUUUUUUUUUAAGAAACAAAAAGACAACUUAUUAAGAACAAAAAAGAGUCUAUCAUAUGCUCUAUAUUAUUUCUCGAGCCAUUUGAGUCUAUCAUAAAAUAUAAAACUCAAAAAAUCUAAGGCAAACUAAUAGAAGAAAUAAGAAAAAAAACUUUGAUAAGUCUUGCAAAGGACGAAGACAUUUCAAAAAGAGUGAAAAUAUUUGCAUAUUAGUCGUAUCAUUUAUAAAUACUUUGCAAUAUUUUUUAUUGAAAAAGUCAAUGUAACAUAGCAAGUGGAAUGUUAAUUAACUUGGGAUAUAUAUGUGAUGUUCUUGUUUGAGAAAUUUUGGAGAAAUAGAAGGCAAGAGCCCCUACCUACAACCACCCAUUCCCUUUAUUUCAUUUUCCUUUCCUAUCCUAGUAUUCAAAGCUCUCUCUCUCUCUCUCUCUCAAAUCGUUGUUCGGUUUCUUAGCUACACGACCAUACAACCAAGCAUUUUCUCGAUUCAUCAAUUAUUUAGUGAAAUAUUUACUAGCAUUUUUUAUAUGAAAACAUUUUAUUCUAAUUAAGUUUGUCCAAGAAUAAUCCAGUUAUUCGGUUCUAUGUUUAGUUUGGAUUUUUUUUAUUAUAUUGUGCAAGACAAUAAAAUGCAUACAUUUUGUAAGUAAACGGAGAUAAGAUUUUUAUGAUCAUCACUUCAGGCGUAACAGUAACAGUACAAUCUUAUAUGUAUGGUAACAUGUCUAACCGUAUAAACUUUGCAUGAUACUAAUUACUUCCAUGUAAUUGAGUUAGAAGAAGCGGUUCUCUCAAGUUAUAUUCGUUAAAUCAACUUCAUCACUUGGCUUUUAAUCCAAAAUGAUCAACAAAGUGUGAAAGAAAAAUAUCUUUAAUUCAACAUUAGUUACUUAACUUGAUAGAAAUAAUUAUAUGUAAAUAGUCCGAAAAUUAAAUUAUGUGAGUCAGUUAAUAGAUUAUGCACCUCUAUCUGUUAGUUUCGGUCCCUUUUCCAUGUUGCCUGGUGACAUCCAUUUUCUACCUUGACACAAUAUGAGAAUAUCAUCAUGAUACCAUUUAUAAGAAAGAAAAAAAGAUAAAAUCACUAAAUGUAGAAGGAAAUAAAAAAUUGGAAUCUUUCAAAUAGAAGAAAACAAAAAAUGUGUAAGACCAAAAAAGAGUGAGAAUAGGGGGUUGCACCCUCAGCAAAGCCACCAUGAGUUUGGUUGUCCUGUCAUUGCCACUGUGUCGGUCACCUUACAUUAUGUAUCAUUUCUUAGUGAAAUGCAUUUAGUCUUUAGUUCCAAUCAAUAGGUUGGAUCUUUAAUUUUGAGCCAGCUCGUAGAUGAAACACAAAAUCAAAGAAAAAAUGAUAAGAAAAAAAAAGCAUGAAAUAGAAACAAAAAAUAGAAGUAUACAAAUUGAAGAAUAUAUAGUUAAAAUUAAAAAUAUUUAACAAUAUAAUUAAAGAAUAUGAAACUCCAUUUAGACGUGGUGCUGAGGAUAUUGGUAUGAGAUGAUUUCUUUUUGAUGAAAGAGUAAAAACCUGUAAUAGAAAAUCAAAAGGAGGAAUGAGCAUAUAAAAAUAUAAUUCAGGAAAGAAAACUAAAGAAACAAAUAGUAAAAAAGCCCGACAUUUAUAGGGGUUGCACCGUCGACGCUGUGAUAACCCGUUGUACUAACAAUUAAUGAUGCCUCCUUUGUCUUCAAAUCAACCAUAUUGCUCCUUUUCGCUGGCAGCCUAGGAUACCACCAUCCUUCCCCUUUUUUCAUUUCUCUAUCUCGAAGGCGAAAGACCAAUUUCCACACCGACUCUAUGCGGCUGUCACAGUACUGCUGCCUUCACCACAUACGUCAAUCUCAAUUUUCCUGUUAAAAAACUUUGUUGCGAUGCUCUGUUGAUAUUCCUUAUUUAUUCCUAUUUUUGUUAUCUCACUGUUUCGGACCAUUCCUCAAAAUACCCUAAUACCUCUCAUGUUUAUAUACCGCUUUUAAUUACAUUGUUUUUGAAAUAUUAGUUAGAAUAAAAUAAGAAGAUUAAACAAAGAACAGAAUGAAAAAAUGAACAAAACACCCUUGAUAAUUGGUACAAUACAGUUCUUUUAGCAUACAUUGAAAUCAAUAAGGAAACCUCUAUGUCUAUCUUGGAUGAUAGCAGCACCUCCACUCAUCCCCUUCCAUGAUCUUGUGGACUGCUUCAUAUAGAAACAAGAAAAAAAAAAUAGCCAUUAUUAAAGAGAUAAAAUUAGCAGAUGAUAAUGAUAUGAGAGAAAUUCAAACUAAAAAUCAUCCACAUAUAUGACAUGGUUAUAGGAUAUUCCCUAUGAGCACAAACACAUGCAUUGAACACAACACGGAGACAUCUAUAGAUGUAAAUUUAAAAAAUAAAAUAAAAUAGAUUAAUCGGAAAAACUAAAUUUAGAUGCAUCUUUGACUUCAUCAAUGGAUCAAUAUUGCUCUUGCCCAUUUUAUUACCAAGAAUAUAAAAACAAUUAAACCAAAGAAUAGGAUGUCAUCAUAGUUCAUGUUGAAGAAUAGGAUGUGUUGUGCUAUUGCCCAUUUCCUGCAUGUGUGUUGUGGAUCGAGUAAAAAUUAGUAUGAAAUUAAUAUGAACAAAAGAAAUAUAAUUCAGUUUUAGUACCUUUAAAAACUACAAAAGCUAGAACACAAAAGUCUGUUGCAAACACACCAUAAGAGACCGUAUAGUCAGAAAGAAAAUACAUAGAAUUGGAGUAUUUGACAAAAUAGAUAUCACCACACACCGAGUUAGGUUGUUGCUUUUUUUGUUCUUCCUUUACAUUGAUUUUUUUUUAAUGUUGUAGUAGGCAAAAAUCUCUUCCAGAUUAAUUGAAAAAUACGUUAAUUGUCUAUGGGACUCCUCCACCGCAUGUUUCUCCCUUUAAAAUAAUGAAGUAGAAAAAUGAGGAUAAGCCUAUAACACAAUUGAAGAAAAAAAAUGAUGUUUGUGUAUAAUGGAGAAAGAAGCACAAUAGAAGGGACAAAAAUCCGUUAUGUUGUGCAUUGGAAACCGUUGCCUUUGCGGUAACUUAUUGAUCUCAAAUUGAUGCCAUAACAAGCAGCCAAUCACUAAGAUUCAUGUCUUCUGUUUUUCUGUUCAAAACAAAGCAUUUGCCCUCAACGACCACAAUGCAAACAGGCAUGAACUCAACAGUCGCUCCAACAAUCUCACCAAUAAUCAAACACUAAAUAAACACAAAAAACUGCACAGAACAAAGUAUAAAUUAAGAAUGUCAAAAAGUAAUGAGAAUCAAAACCAAAAAAAAAUAAAAAAUAAAUAAAUUUAAACAAACGAGAGUUUUCAAGAGCCAAGUGAUUAUAGUGGUUGAUUCGUUUAGACAAAGUUGUUGUUAUAGAAAUUUAUGAAGUGAAAAGAGAAACACGAAUUCAAUCAUCCCGUCAGAUUCCAUCAUUCUUUCUAUUCAAGUUUCUCAUGUUUCAUCUUUUUACGUUGUUGUUCUGUCAAGAUUGUGCAGCAGUUCUUUCUUGGUAGUUUUUGAGUUUGAAUGAGAGGCAUCAGUAAAAAAAAAUAAGAUAGGUAGUUAUCGAUGAAAUUACUAUAAUGCACUGGUUUACAAAUUAAGUUUGAGAAGGAAAAUGAAGGACAUUUUUGGAAAGAAAAUAGGCUAUACCAAACCAAAGUAUUGGCUUUAUUAAUAGGUAUAGAUAUCGGUUUCUUUUGACUUGAAAAAAAAAAAAAAAAAAAACUAAAAUGACUUACUUGAUAUAACUCGGACAAAAAGAGCAAAAUUUAUUUAACAAUUAAUUAAUUUACUAAUAUUUAUCAUCAUCAUUAUAAUGAUAAUGAUAAUAGCAAUUAUGAAAGACUAAUUUAUUACAAAUAUUUAACUUUUUUUUGGUUCUACUAAUAUUUAACUUGAAAAAGGUAUGCGAAGAAAGGAAGAAAAAAAAAGUAGGGUUAAUAGGUCUUUACCCCCUGUAAUAUAGGUCAUUUCCGAUUUUCCCCUGUAAAAUAUUUUUUUUGAUUUACCUCCUUGUAAUUUUUUUUUGUUUUGAUUUACCACUUAAUAGGCCAAACAAAAACGAAAAAAUCAAAUCUUUUUACAGGGGGUAAAUCGAAAAAAAUAUUUUAAAUGUAUUAUAAUAUUUGAUGAAGACGCGUUAUAUGUUCAAAAUACAUCGCUUUCAAAACUAAAACUAAAAAGGUAUUCGAAGAAAGGAAUAAAAAGGUAUUGACUUUUGUAUUUCCUUGCAAGCGAUGGGAAGGUGCAAAGACGCGUUAUAUAUUCAAUCAGUUGAUACAAAAAGUAUAUCAUCUCAUUCAUUUUUUCCUUCUCACUUUCUUCUUUGAUACCAAACUUCAUCUUUCAUAUCUUUCAGUUUGUUUUUCCACUAAUUACUAUCCUUGAUAUCUUGUUCUUGUGCUUCACUUUGUUUGGGAGAUCUUUCAAGUUUUUCACUUUGUUUGUUCCACUCACUUUCAAGUAAUUUCUCUCUUUAAAUCUUACUAAACACAUUUUUUACUCUUUAUUUCCGUUUUUACUCAAAUUUCAUAUUUCACAUUUUUUUUAUACUUUAUUUCCUUGGCAGAUCUCAGUUUGUGUUUUUGUGACAAAGAUCUCAGUUUGUUUCUUCUCACACUUUCAGAUACUCUCUUACUUUCUUAACAACAGUUAAUCUUUUAAAUCAUGUUACGUGAUCCAUCCUAGUUAUACUUAUAUUUAUAUUUAAGUUAAUUUUGAUUAACAAAAGUUAAUAAUUCUAACUAUGUUACGUGAUCCAUCAUAGUUAUCCUUUUUUUUUUUUAAGGACCAUCCUUGCUAUACUUAUAUUUAAGUUAAAUAUGAAAAUGAUUUUUUUUUUAAAUGAUUUUAUUUGAAAUACUAUUUUAUACUGUCUCUAAAUCUUUCUCUAAUUUUUUUUUUUAUAUUCUCUCAUUACUUAGCAGAUCUCAGUUUGUGUUUUUCCGACAAAGAUCUCCGAUUAUUUGUUCUUACACUUUCAGGUACUCUCUUCUUUGUUAAUAAAAUUUAAUGUUUCAAAUUAUGUCAUGUGAUUUGUCCCGGUUAUACUUAUGAUAAUGAUUUUUUUGAGGGUUAAUUAUAUAUUUUUAAGGGUUAGUUAUGAUAAUGAGCUUUUUUUAAGGGUUAAUUGGAAUAAGUGAACUACAAAAUUACAAUACUAACCUUCUACUUUAAACAGUUGAUGCAAUUUUCUUAAAAAAAAAAAACCUUUAUGUGCGUAAAAAAAAAUUGUUAAAAAAUUAAUUAACUCUUACAUAUUCUCAUUAAUUUUUUUAAUUAACUAACCUACUGAUUGAAAUUCACACAUUUUAAAUACGGUGAAAUGGAAAGUUGAACCCAACCCCUACAUAUAAUUGUCCUUGUAACUAGCAAUUGAGUUGCACUUACGAGAUAUAUUCUCUUUUAUCAUAAAAGAUAAUAAACUGUCUUCAAUCCACAUAUUAAUAUUCCUUUUGAUAUGAUUAUUUUCACGUUAUUUUUCGGCGAAUGAAUCACUAAACAGUCUCUUUCAAAGAUGCAAUUGAUACAAGAGACAAUUGUUUAUCAUUAAACAAUUAAUUUACUUUAAUAUUUUUGUUUCUUCUGAAUAAAAACAAGAAUGUUUUAAUAUACUAAUUAUUAUUUAUUAUAAAAAUCAUACAUGAGACAAAAAUAUAUCACUAAAAAAUGAUUAAAAUUUAAUGUUUUUUAAUAUAUAAUGGGAAAUGUUAACGAGUGCCCCGGACACUUGUUAAGGGAAUAUAAGAAGAAAUAUUCUCUUGGAAAUUGUGUAUUCUACUCUUUCUCUAACAAAUUCCUAUUUUUUUUUGUAGACACUCUUCUUUUAAUAUGUUAUCUUUCUCUUGUAACAAACAAUUUUUAGUUAGUAUCUCUUCUCCAACAAAUUUCUAUUUUUUUUUUUUGUAAACACUCUUCUUUUAAUAUGUUAUCUUUCUCUUGUAACAAGCAAUUUUUAGUUACUAUCUCUUUUUUCAACAAAUUUCUAUUUUUUUUUUGGAGACACUCUUCUUACAAUUGUCAAUUUUUUAAAUAUUUAGCAAAUCUCUUUAAUUAUUUUAAGUCAAUUUCCAAUGAGCCUUCCACUCUUUCUUCCUUUUGAAAAUUCAUGACGUCUUUUUUUUUUUUUUUUCCUUAGAUCGGUUCUUUUACUUAGCACUUGAAAUUUUUAACAACUACUCCUCAUCUUAUUUAUAAAAUGUUAACUCUUCAUGAAACCAUUAUUAUAGGUAACAAAAUUUUGUAUAAAUUUGAGGAUAACAAGAAACAAACUUUUUUUUUUAUUUUUUAAAAACUUUAGUUUUCUCAAUACAUAACAUUAAUUAGUUUUUUUUAGCUGUCUAUGUCAGGUGCUCAUGUAUAUAUUAUUAAAAAAAAUACAAAAAAGAAUUGGGGGGACAUAAACCUAACCCAGUCAAUUCACUGAAAGUGUAUGUCAACCCAAUUGAGUAAUACAAAGAAAUAAAACAACACCGGUGAAUGUCUAACUUGCGGUGUAUGGACCAACCGUCAACACGAAAUGGAUCCAAGAACCAACAACUCUUUGCAACAACAGCAAGAAUAAUGUCUCUUUCGAGCCAAACAGUCCAGCAUCAAAGACUGAUGAGGAUUUUGAAACCUCCCCCAAGUUAUAGUGCUAAACUUUGUGAAGGUGAGAGAUUCGACCGCCAACACGGAUACAGAACCCACGCCUACAACCCGCUAUGCUGCGACAGAAAGCUUCACGACCAUUUCUAGCCAAAUCCAAUAGAAAGCAACUCAAAUCCAAUUGAAGGCCAGAUUGAGGGAUGGUCAAUCAACGAGUCUGAGCACCGCGAGCACCGCCAAAAUAGUAACACCCGCACCCACCAUUCGCAGCAACAAUGGACAACAGGUUCAAGACCAUUUCUAGCCUAGAAGACAUGUUAGGAAGCACAUCAUGAUCUUGAAGGAGCAAUACAGACGAGCAUCAUAAUCAAACAAGAGACUGAUCUUAACAAAACCAAAACCAUCUUUUCAGUCAUGGUAUAUGAACUGACCGCCAACACGGACAGAUUCACGGACAAACUGCCCCUGCAACAACAAAGCACAACAAGCAUUCCGACUCUUUCGAGCACAACAAACUCUGACUGCAAUGACGAGUCAUCUGAACUACGUCAAGACGAAUCAGCACAGCGAGUCUUACGAUUCAACAGGAGCAUGGCGUGUCCCCUGAAGGCAGCCACACUGUCUUUUUUUAGAGCUUCAGUGGCAUGAGCCACCGCCUUUGAGACCAAAAUCUUUUUCGAAUUUUUUUAUAAUUUUUCAAAAAUUUCAAAUUAUAUUAAAUUUGUGAUUUUUUAAAUUUUUUGUUAAUUUAAAAAAUGAUUUUUUUAUUUAUUUUCAAAAUUUAAUUUUCAGAUUUUUUUUGUUUUUUUAAUAAAAUCUGACGCGGAUAAUCAUUAAUACACGUGGCUAACAAAAAAAUAUUCAUGUCAGCGUCACGUAGGAGAUUCUGGUGAGUCACAUGGGUCGGGGACAAAUUUGAAGAAUCUUUAUUUUUCAAGGACCAAAUCUAAUUUUAUUUUUACAGGGAUUACAGGAGAUAAAACACUAUUAACUUAAAAAAAAAAAAAACAUGCUUUUGUUAAAGAAAUCAACUCUUACACAUUCUUAUUCAUUUUACAAAAUGAUAAAUUUUCAUUGGUCAACUUAAUGUCCUUUUUGGUAUAUUUCUCAUUAUAUUCACGUUUUGUUAUGCAAAUGAUUCACUAAAGAGCAUUAUUGAAAGAUAUAAUUCAUACACGGGACAAUUACUUAUUAUUAAUCAAUUAAUUGAAUUAAUUUAUUUUGUUUCUUCGAAGUAAAAAAUGAAUAUUUUAAUACAGUAAUUAUAAUUUAUUAUAAAAAUUAUUCAUGUGAAAAAUGUACAUCGCUAAAAAAUAUCUAAAAAUUUACCAAAAAAAAAACUAAAAGUUAAUGUUUUUUUAGUUUCUUGUACAUAUUCAAAAAAAAAAAAAACAAUUAUAUAUACUAAUAAUAUUUUUUUUUACAUUUCAUUGUUUAUUUUUCUAAAUGGGUCACAAAAGAGAGAAAUUGGAACGAACCCUUCUUCAUAUACAUGGAACAACUUUUUAUCACUAAUCGGUGAAAUUUAUGUUUCUAAAUACCAAAUGUUAGUAAGAAAUCAUAACUGCUAGAAUUUAAAUAAAAAGUGUUAGUAAAAUUUUGGCAAAAUUACGCAAUUAGUUCUCUAACUUAAUUUUAAGUAACGAUUAAGUCUUUUAUCUCUUUUUUUCUUCUUUCCAUUUUAAUCCUUUGUUCUAAAAUAUGAACAUUAUCAUCCUUUUUUUUCGUAAAAAAACCAUAAAUCCAGAAAACUCAUCACAGAAUGCUGAUCUUCAUAAAGAAAAAAAACUCAAGUUCAUUAAAAAAGCCAAAAACUAAAGUUCAUCUUCAUAUAAACCCAAAAUUUCAUCAAAUCUAAAACCCAAAUAUUCAAAACAAACUCAUAUUUUCAAAGUAACUCAAAUCUUCAACUUUUUAUUUUACAAAGAGUCAAUUAAUUAUUCCCAAAAAGAAUUCCAAAUCUCCAAAACUGAAAUAUAAACAAAAACUCAAAGAUAUGAAUUGGUGUUUGUUGUUCCUACUUGUAAUCGAACAAAAUUGGUGUUCAUUGAUGUUGGUUGUUGCAUAUAAACAUUGUUAUUGUUGUUGCCAUAUUCCAAGAUCUCAGGUUUUGGGUUUUGAAAAACUAACUACAACAACGUUAACCUGGUGGAAGGUUUUCUCAAAAUUGGGAUUUUAGAAAAAUAAUGAUGAAACAAUUGAACAUUAAAAUUAAAAUAUGGACCAUGAAGAUGAUAUGGAUUAUAAAAAAAUUGUGUUGAAUAUUUCAAACUUCCCUAUAUAUAUAUAUAUAUAUAUAUAUAUAUAUAUAUAUAUAUGGGACUGUUAACUUACACUCAUCUAAAAAUAUUAAGGUGCAAGUUAGCAAGCUACAUCUACCUAAAAUUAUUAAGGUGCAAGUUAGCAACCUACACCCACUUGAUUAUUUACACUCAUUUUUAUAAGUAUUAUUAAGGUGCAAGUUAGCAACCUUCACUAAUUUACACUCACUUUCAUCAUUUCAAAUAUUAUUUCCUUAAAAGUUUGUCUUUAUUACAUGUUUUGUAUCUUAAGCAUGUCAUUGUCUUUUUUGUUUCUUUUUUUAAGGAUUUUUUUUAAGCUAGUUGCAAAAUUGCCCUUCUAUUUAAAAUUAAUUAGAAUACAAACAAAAGGGUGUUUUAGUAAAUUAUAAGUGGGUGCAGCUUGCUAACUUGCACCUUAAUGUUUUUAGGUGGGUGUAAGUUAACAGCAGCCUCAUAUAUAUAUAUAUAUAUAUAUAUAUAUAUAUAUAUAUAUAUAUAGGGAGCAUAUCCUACGAGAACCAAUAUCUUAUAUAAGAAACGAGAACUAUAUUAACCAUCAGAUUUAAUUAACGUCAAAGAUUUAAUUAUUUGCUUAAAAUCUCGCAUGUAAUUGAUACACACAAUCACAACUUAAUAAAUUUUGUUCUCGGUUGUGCACGAAUUUCUGCACAGUUUACUCCCUCCAGUUUCGUUUUAUGCAUCUCCUUUGUUGCUCAUAUCUUUAUGCAUCUUCUUUGUUGCUCAUAUCUUGACAGCACGAACAUGCUUCUUAAAAUAGACUAUGUUUCUCCAUCUUGAUUUGAGAGUAUUUUUUUUUAAUCGAAGCUUAAAAUACUUUUCAUAAUUAAAAUUUACUUAUUUUGAUUUAUAAUUUAAGAUCGAAUGCAAUAAGGUGGGUAAGCCACAUGAAAUUUUGGAGAAUGGGAAUGGCGACAACAUGUACCAAAGAGAGUGUAAAACCUAAUUGUAAUGAUUUGGAAUUUUGGGGAGAGCCAAUAAACUGAGUGUUAAUAUUUUAGGGUGAGUAUAGUGCCACAGGAGAUUUAAAGCAAAUAAUUAAACUAAACUAUGUAGAAGAUGAACAAAAUAAAGCGUAAAACCUAAUCUGGGAAUUAUUUGAAGAUAAAGUGAGUGCUACUUAUGGGGAAAUUCUGCCUAAAUUGUAGCUCAAUUUAUUAACUUGUGAUUUUGUAUAUCAAUUAUACAGAAUGUUUUAAGAAGGUAAUUUAAUCUUAUGCGUUAAUUAAAUCUGAUGGUUGAUAUAGAAAGUUCUCGUUUCUCAUAUAAGAUAUUGGUUUUCACCGAAUAUACUCCCUAUAUAUAUAUAUAUUGAAAUUCCCCUAUCAUUAGAAACAAGGUUUUCUGACAAAAUAAUAAAAUCUG